Molecule: long non-coding RNA, 215 nt
Filed under: Prunus persica (peach)
Lineage: Eukaryota; Viridiplantae; Streptophyta; Magnoliopsida; Rosales; Rosaceae
Description: long non-coding RNA (PPER_LNC001354)
Source: RNAcentral
UCAAUUUCCCAAUUUCUGAUUUUCUGUGACAUUGGACCUACAAGGAGCAACUCUCUCUCUCUCUCUCUCUCUCUCUCUCUCUCUCACACACACACACAAGAAGAAGAAGAAGACACCCAGUCAUGUUUGAUUCAUUAACAAGUGUCUACUUAACAAUGGGUUUCUUCUUCUUGUUGUUGUAAAUGGUUUCCACCAUCUAAUAUAAAACACCAUUU